UAAGCGGUUGAAGGUGUGUGGUAACGCAUGCUGGACGUAUCAGAAGUGCGAAUGCUGACAUGAGUAACGAUAAAGGGGGUGAAAAACCUCCUCGCCGGAAGACCAAGGGUUCCUGUCCAACGUUAAUCGGGGCAGGGUAAGUCGACCCCUAAGGCGAGGCCGAAAGGCGUAGUCGAUGGGAAACGGGUUAAUAUUCCCGUACUUCUUACAAUUGCGAUGGGGGGACGGAGAAGGCUAGGUGGGCCUGGCGACGGUUGUCCAGGUUCAAGUGCGUAGGCUUAAGAGUUAGGUAAAUCCGGCUCUUUCUAAGGCUGAGACACGACGUCGAGCACCUACGGGUGUGAAGUCAUUGAUGCCAUGCUUCCAGGAAAAGCCUCUAAGCUUCAGAUUGUAAGGAAUCGUACCCCAAACCGACACAGGUGGUCGGGUAGAGAAUACCAAGGCGCUUGAGAGAACUCGGGUGAAGGAACUAGGCAAAAUGGUACCGUAA
Molecule: ribosomal RNA, 490 nt
Filed under: Vibrio parahaemolyticus
Lineage: Bacteria; Pseudomonadati; Pseudomonadota; Gammaproteobacteria; Vibrionales; Vibrionaceae
Description: partial 23S ribosomal RNA
Rfam family: Bacterial large subunit ribosomal RNA
Source: RNAcentral